UAAUCUCACUACGAUCGACUUUUGGUCUUUCAGUACGUGGACUUGGAUGCUGCCGUGAUAUUCACGACUCGUCUGAAAUGCCUGAGUGUACCCCGCUUUGCGGCGUAUUCGGUGUGAUACAUCUUCACCGGAGUUGAUCCUUUUGGGUCGCGUCUGUAAUGGUGUGGCUCUAUGCUUUGAACCGUCUCCCAGGGACAACCUCUGACA
This 207-nucleotide unclassified non-coding RNA is filed under the name uncultured Serendipita. RNAcentral's name for it is "sequence contains ITS2". The record is from RNAcentral. Lineage: Eukaryota; Fungi; Basidiomycota; Agaricomycetes; Sebacinales.